Molecule: small RNA, 159 nt
Filed under: Chrysemys picta bellii (western painted turtle)
Lineage: Eukaryota; Metazoa; Chordata; Testudines; Emydidae
Description: TUC338 (ENSCPBG00000028256.1)
Source: RNAcentral
CUAAUAGCACUAGAAAAUUAAGGCCUCUAAGAAACCACAGAACAGGUGUAGCACAGGACAUGACAGUAUUGUCUGAGUAUUGUCCCAACAAUGUACCUCAUCUAGUUUCUAGGAGUGAGAGGGCAAUUCAUUCUCCUUGCCCAUUCAUCCUUGGCCUCU